AAAAUGGAGAGUUUGAUCCUGGCUCAGGAUGAACGCUGGCGGUAUGCUUAACACAUGCAAGUCGAACGGUCUCUUCGGAGAUAGUGGCGGACGGGUGAGUAACGCGUAAGAAUCUACCUUCAGGUCGAGGACAACCACUGGAAACGGUGGCUAAUACUGGAUGUGCCGAGAGGUAAAAGGCUUGCUGCCUGAAGAAGAGCUUGCGUCUGAUUAGCUAGUAGGUGUGGUAAAGGCGCACCUAGGCGACGAUCAGUAGCUGGUCUGAGAGGAUGAUCAGCCACACUGGGACUGAGACACGGCCCAGACUCCUACGGGAGGCAGC
Molecule: ribosomal RNA, 322 nt
Filed under: Dolichospermum sp.
Lineage: Bacteria; Bacillati; Cyanobacteriota; Cyanophyceae; Nostocales; Aphanizomenonaceae
Description: bacterial SSU rRNA
Rfam family: Bacterial small subunit ribosomal RNA
Source: RNAcentral